Molecule: long non-coding RNA, 4006 nt
Organism: Haemorhous mexicanus (house finch)
Lineage: Eukaryota; Metazoa; Chordata; Aves; Passeriformes; Fringillidae
Exons: 5
Source: RefSeq, a predicted model, not a curated record
AGAUGACGGACAGCGCGGCGGCGGCGGCCCUUCCGCUCCGCGCAGCGCGCUCGGCACCUGGGCCCGCCGCGCCGGGACGGCGGCUCCGCACCUGCGGCGGAACCAAUUGGGAAUUCCUAGGCAAUUUUCUCCGUUUCUGCCUCCGCUUCUACAGCAUCUAGUACCAGUGCCACCUACAGGAAUAAUUGCAUUUUCGAGCUGCUUUCAAGUAACCAAAAUUCCGCGUUUGAGAGUCCUGGUAGCUCUGUCGUCUUCCUGGACGCACAGCAGCAAGUCUGACUUCGAAAGGCGCUGUUUUUCUUCGUGGCUUUCGUUUGAGAUCACGGACUGAUGCAGGUUCGCUCCACUGUACCACGGCAGUGGGAGUGACAGAGCCCUUCCCGCCGGACCCCGGGAGACCCAGCCGGCAAAGGUCAUAUUUGUCUCCCUGCAAAGAUGCAAGCCUGAAAACCUUUCCACUGAUCCCUGGGGCAGCAGUCCCUUCACGUUGAUCACAGUGCAUGGAAAGAAGUCCUCUCAGACAAGCUAGUGUGGUAAAGCCACCAAGGUGAUGCCCAGCUGUGGGCAGAAGGCAGCCUUCCCUGCACUGCCAAGUGAGUGUAGAAGCUGUCUGGCAUUGGCAUGCCUGGCAUUUCAUGCAUGGUGCCUAACACUAGCACAGUCAAGCCCAGGUUUCCAGGAAGCCCAAAAGUCCAUGUGGGCACAUCCAUAGAGAAGACAGCGGCAGCUCAGCCUCCUGUUUUACCUCUUGGACUGCUGUGUCCCUCUGAGACAGACUCCAUUGAGAUCUCUGUGAAAUGAAUGAUGUGACUUACCAGUAUCGUACAAGCUGUUCCAAGAAUAUCAGCAAGGCACUGGAAUAUGGCAGGGGGACUGGAGACUUUCCUGAGAAGGUUUUACCCAGUGGUGGAAAAUAUAUUUGUGUUAUUACUUUAGCACAAGUGUCUUCUAUAAUGCUAAGGUUUGCUUUCAAAUAAAACAUAAAUUGCACAUCUGGUUAGAAGAAAUAAAUGCAAUAGUGCUUCAAAGACUAUCUGUCAGGCUUAAAAAGCAAAGAGAGGAGGAUUUAUUGGUGUUUUUAUUAUUAACAUAAAAGCCUUGGGAUCUCAAAAUAGACUAGAGUUUUAGGUAAAUAUGGGUUCUAUUUUCUUCUUUGUUCACCUUAACAUUUUAUUAGCAUCAAGCUAAAAAAGGAUCAUCUGAAUGUUAAUAUGUUUACUGUGUGCACAUGGAUGUUAGCCUAAUCAAUACACAGAUGUAGAAGACUGUAGAGAAAAGUAUGCACUACAAGUAUAUUCAUCAUCUUAAACAUUUCAGACAGCAUCUUCAUUCUGGAGAUAUUAUUUGUUUAAGAAAACCCACUCUUGUACUUUUCCAGUCUUUCAAGACUUUUGUGAAGCAGCAGUGGGCUGCUUCUGUGCAAAGACUUGGAAUGGACAUCCAUUUGCAAAUGAAAAAGCAAUGAAGGUAGUUUCUAAAAUAGAUUAUUUAUAAAAUUAAAAUUUGAGGAAGCUUGGGUAAAAAUAACAUGGCCAAAACAGCAAAUAUUGGGCAGCUGGAGACAUACACAUUAGAUUUCCUGCCUGAGCUGCUGGUGACUUCAGCCUCCUUUCCAGGAGAAAAUUACCCUAUCCAAUGCUUCUUAAAGCCUCGCAUGAGUCACUCCAAGGUGUUGGAGGGGGCUGUACAAAUCCUGGUCCCCAAUUUCUCCUAAAAAUUGUCUGCAAGAGGUUCAGUUUUGCUGUGUCAGGACCAGGUUGAAUCUGUCAUAGGAUUUAAAUUAAAUCCUUGGCAACCACUUUUCUGAUUUUAUAACAAAAUCUGACCUAUGUGUUAAAGUGAGGACAUUGUUCUGCUGGGUUAUUGCUUAAUUACUAAAUGAAGAAAUAUUAAGUACAAAUUUAAUGACUCAUACAAUAUUUCCAAAUGACAUGUACUAUAAAGUCCCAUUUACAUCUACCACACUGGUGUUUAACUCACUUUCCAUUAUUCCUGAGGCUAUUAAUGUCAGUAAUUACAGCAGGUAAUAUGUCUAAUAUUGAGUGUAUUGUGGGAUAAAGCAAUGUCGAGCUCCUGCAGUGUGUUUUAUAUUAAGUACAAAAAGCUUCUGAUACAGUUAAUGUAACUAUAAAUCUUAACUCAAAUGCUUAUAUGUCUCGUUUAUGACCUGAAUAAACUCUGAGGCAGAAGCAGGGCAGCUGAACAGCCGCUCGCUGCCAAACCACAUAUUCAGCAGAAUAUGCACUUACAAUAUCCUUUUCAUAUUGAACAGUCACAGAAAGACAGAAAACAGGCCGAGUAUUUUCUAUAAAUUAAGUUGGAUUCUUUUCCAGAACACUGAGUUUAAUGGUAAAAAAAAUCCCUAAAUACACACAAAUCUUAAAAUCACAAAUAUAUAAAUAGAAUAUAAAACUCAAAAUAGUGUGGAGGAUUUUUUUCCAGUGAAAAUCCAGCCUGUGCUCAUGAUAAGAGCUGCUCCGCAGGUUUGGAUGUGUUAAAUAUUGAACACCCUGCCACUUGGAGAAUGCACAUCGCUCUGCCCCUUUGGAGAGGCUGCUGGAUUGGCCUGGGUGUGGAGCUGGCCAGAAAUCACAGGCGCCUCUGGAAGAGCUGGCAUUCACUGUCAGUGUGAGCUGCCAAAGGAAAACUGGGCUGUGAGGGCAAACCUUUGGAAGGAACCCUUUGGAAGGCUGUGCUGUAGGUGACUGAUAUGAUUUGGUCUGACUUUGAGCUCACUUGGAACCACUGUUUCAAGCCUGAGCAAAAAACCUGAGCAGGAAUAGUGUGUGCUGAGAACAAGUAAGCACCACUUAAAGUCCUGUCAGGGCUCCGACUUCCAAUGUCAGCCCCCAUGUGCUGUGGCACCCUUGUGUCCCCAAACAUCAGCACACACCUGGUGAGGCUUCAGCCCAGGUGCCUGCAGUGUGAGGGUGGCUGUGGCAUGGGAGCCUGCAGGAUGAAGCAGGGAGGGAAAUCAUUUGAUCCACAAAAAACAAGAUUUAGGUGCAAGUUGCACUGGAGAUCACAAAAUUAGGAUCAGAGAGAGAUCAACUACCAGAAAGCAGAAGCCCUACUUCAAUCAAUUUUCACUGAAAUAAAUUCCUUUGGAUGGGAAGUUCUCCUUAAAGACCUUUGGUACAGUAUGACCCUUUAAUAUUAAGCAUGUCAACAUUUAAAUUUAUGAUGCUAUUUUUUGUAGAGCUAUUUACAAGGGGAGUAUUUCCCUCUGAAUUUGUAAUAAAUCAUGAAAAACAUCUUUUCAUUCCAUUUCCCUUUAGAAAGAAAUAUUUGGUAGUUUAAAAUAUUUAAUGUAGUGGAAAAUCUAAAGGGAAAAAUAAAGCAUCAAUAGACUAUUUCAGCAGCAGAAACCAUUCGGGACCUGCUUAACCACCUAAGCUCUUCUCCAAAUUUAUUUGGAAAGGGGCAUAUAAAGAGCUCAUCACUUUCCAUCUCCAUUUUCAUAUGUGCAGCACAUGCAAUAGUUUAGCUGUGUACUCACACUCCGAGCUGAUCAUGAUGGUGAGCUGAAGUAACUUGAGAUCACCAUUUCUUUCUCCUUAUGACAGUUCUGGAACAUUUGGUUGACUAAUUACCUUGUUACUAGUCAGCUUUUUUUUUUAAUAUUUGACUUUAUUUAUGAAGGUACAUGCACAAGAAGGGUAGGAGCCACACACACAAGUUACCAUUUUAAACCAGAGGAUUAUUACACCACCAUGCUUUCCCUGUGCUUGAGAUAGGAAAACUACACAGGCAAGAUAAAAUUUACUCAUGUCCAGUACUUCACCCUGUCCAUUUCUCAGAACAGACCAAACCCAAAGACUGACACAAAGGUGUGACCAAGGUCUUCCUCAGUUAAGUGCAAAUCUUCCACUGAUUUAAAGGGUUGAUGCUCUAAACUUUAAAGCAUGGAGAUUAUGAAGCAUAAGGUCCAUAGUAUGGGCUGUGUCUGUAUCAGUGUAUUUGUGCAGAUAUAUACAUAAAUAUAUAAUAUAUACAUAUUUACUUA